RNAcentral lists this ribosomal RNA (253 nucleotides) under uncultured bacterium. RNAcentral's name for it is "partial 16S ribosomal RNA". It matches the Rfam family "Bacterial small subunit ribosomal RNA", at positions 524 to 776 of the family's 1533-position model. The record is from RNAcentral.
UACGGGGGGGGUAAGCGUUGUUCGGAAUUACUGGGCGUAAAGGGCGCGUAGGCGGCGUGUCAAGUCAGGCGUGAAAGCCCCGGGCUCAACCUGGGAACCGCGCUUGAGACUGGCAUGCUCGAGUUCGGGAGAGGAUGGUGGAAUUCCCAGUGUAGAGGUGAAAUUCGUAGAUAUUGGGAAGAACACCGAUGGCGAAGGCAGCCAUCUGGACCGACACUGACGCUGAGGCGCGAAAGCGUGGGGAGCAAACGGG